CGCAGCCGCGGUAAUUCCAGCUCCAAUAGCGUAUAUUAAAGUUGUUGCAGUUAAAAAGCUCGUAGUUGAAUUUCGGGGUUCAUACGUUGGUCGGGCUUUUGGGUCUGUACUGGCGUAAUGGAUUCCUACCUUCUGAAUAACCGGCAUGCCAUUAAUUUGGUGCGCCGGGGAAGCAGGACUGUUACCUUGAAAAAAUUAGAGUGUUUAAAGCAGGCUUUAGCUUGAAUACAUUAGCAUGGAAUAAUGAAAUAGGACGUUUGAUCCUAUUUUGUUGGUUUCUAGGAUUGACGUAAUGAUUAAUAGGGAUAGUUGGGGGCAUUAGUAUUCAAUUGUCAGAGGUGAAAUUCUUGGAUUUAUUGAAGACUAACUACUGCGAAAGCAUUUGCCAAGGAUGUUUUCAUUAAUCAAGAACGAAAGUUAGGGGAUCGAAGACGAUCAGAUACCGUCGUAGUCUUAACCAUAAACUAUGCCGACUAGGGAUCGGAUGAUGUUAAUUUUUAAUGACUCAUUCGGCGCCUUA
Molecule: ribosomal RNA, 520 nt
Filed under: uncultured Acaulospora
Lineage: Eukaryota; Fungi; Glomeromycota; Glomeromycetes; Diversisporales; Acaulosporaceae
Description: SSU rRNA
Rfam family: Eukaryotic small subunit ribosomal RNA
Source: RNAcentral